Long non-coding RNA from Hyaena hyaena (striped hyena), 539 nucleotides. RefSeq lists it as uncharacterized. The record is from RefSeq and is a predicted model, not a curated record. Lineage: Eukaryota; Metazoa; Chordata; Mammalia; Carnivora; Hyaenidae. The transcript has 3 exons.
GGCUGAGCCCUGCGUGAGGAGGCAGCUUCAGGCUCCAGAAAGAUCAUAUCUCCCAGGUGAGACCGACCUCCCCUACAGCUCUUACUUAGACCUUGGGCAGUGAUAGCAAGAAACAUUUGUCAAGCCCUUUCAGGAAGCCCAAGCCUCUGUGAAGUGCCUGAGACCUCACAUCAGCAUGCUGUGAGGAGACCCUGGCUGUGCAUCUGUGACUAUGAACCGUGGCCAAAUGAGAAAAUCCUGAUAGAUGUGGCUGGAGUGAUUAAUAGCAGCCUGUCCUCAGAGCUCUGAGAGUGUGUAUUUUAGGGGCAAGAAAGGAAGGAGAAAUCCAGAGAUGGGACCAGUGAAGAUGGCCCAGCUUAUACCUAUGCCUUCUUACCUGCCGCUGCAAGUCAACGCAUCUAGCAAACCUCCAGGGGAAAUGAUUUGCCCGAGAAACUGAAGAGCCGGAAAAUAGGAGCUCAUCUUAGAGGGAAGAAUCCAGCCAAUAAGCCAGAUCCAGAAUCAAAACCUUAGUUCUCAAUAAAUCAGAUGGGUCCCCA